Molecule: ribosomal RNA, 872 nt
Filed under: uncultured Pseudomonadales bacterium
Lineage: Bacteria; Pseudomonadati; Pseudomonadota; Gammaproteobacteria; Pseudomonadales
Description: bacterial SSU rRNA
Rfam family: Bacterial small subunit ribosomal RNA
Source: RNAcentral
AUUGAACGCUGGCGGCAGGCCUAACACAUGCAAGUCGAGCGGAUGAAGGGAGCUUGCUCCUGGAUUCAGCGGCGGACGGGUGAGUAAUGCCUAGGAAUCUGCCUGGUAGUGGGGGAUAACGUCCGGAAACGGGCGCUAAUACCGCAUACGUCCUGAGGGAGAAAGUGGGGGAUCUUCGGACCUCACGCUAUCAGAUGAGCCUAGGUCGGAUUAGCUAGUUGGUGGGGUAAAGGCCUACCAAGGCGACGAUCCGUAACUGGUCUGAGAGGAUGAUCAGUCACACUGGAACUGAGACACGGUCCAGACUCCUACGGGAGGCAGCAGUGGGGAAUAUUGGACAAUGGGCGAAAGCCUGAUCCAGCCAUGCCGCGUGUGUGAAGAAGGUCUUCGGAUUGUAAAGCACUUUAAGUUGGGAGGAAGGGCAGUAAGUUAAUACCUUGCUGUUUUGACGUUACCAACAGAAUAAGCACCGGCUAACUUCGUGCCAGCAGCCGCGGUAAUACGAAGGGUGCAAGCGUUAAUCGGAAUUACUGGGCGUAAAGCGCGCGUAGGUGGUUCAGCAAGUUGGAUGUGAAAUCCCCGGGCUCAACCUGGGAACUGCAUCCAAAACUACUGAGCUAGAGUACGGUAGAGGGUGGUGGAAUUUCCUGUGUAGCGGUGAAAUGCGUAGAUAUAGGAAGGAACACCAGUGGCGAAGGCGACCACCUGGACUGAUACUGACACUGAGGUGCGAAAGCGUGGGGAGCAAACAGGAUUAGAUACCCUGGUAGUCCACGCCGUAAACGAUGUCGACUAGCCGUUGGGAUCCUUGAGAUCUUAGUGGCGCAGCUAACGCGAUAAGUCGACCGCCUGGGGAGUACGGCCGCAAGGUA